Molecule: ribosomal RNA, 529 nt
Filed under: Vibrio lentus
Lineage: Bacteria; Pseudomonadati; Pseudomonadota; Gammaproteobacteria; Vibrionales; Vibrionaceae
Description: bacterial SSU rRNA
Rfam family: Bacterial small subunit ribosomal RNA
Source: RNAcentral
AGAGUUUGAUCAUGGCUCAGAUUGAACGCUGGCGGCAGGCCUAACACAUGCAAGUCGAGCGGAAACGACACUAUYGAWUCUUCGGAKGAUUURAUGGGCGUCGAGCGGCGGACGGGUGAGUAAUGCCUAGGAAAUUGCCUUGAUGUGGGGGAUAACCAUUGGAAACGAUGGCUAAUACCGCAUAAUGCCUACGGGCCAAAGAGGGGGAUCUUCGGACCUCUCGCGUCAAGAUAUGCCUAGGUGGGAUUAGCUAGUUGGUGAGGUAAUGGCUCACCAAGGCGACGAUCCCUAGCUGGUCUGAGAGGAUGAUCAGCCACACUGGAACUGAGACACGGUCCAGACUCCUACGGGAGGCAGCAGUGGGGAAUAUUGCACAAUGGGCGAAAGCCUGAUGCAGCCAUGCCGCGUGUAUGAAGAAGGCCUUCGGGUUGUAAAGUACUUUCAGUUGUGAGGAAGGGGGUAACGUUAAUAGCGUUAUCUCUUGACGUUAGCAACAGAAGAAGCACCGGCUAACUCCGUGCCAGCCGCG